RNAcentral lists this long non-coding RNA (1276 nucleotides) under Penaeus japonicus. Its description in RNAcentral is "uncharacterized LOC122251965, transcript variant X2". Lineage: Eukaryota; Metazoa; Arthropoda; Malacostraca; Decapoda; Penaeidae. The record is from RNAcentral.
GCGCUUGUUAUCCACCUUGGGCGUCACGUGGACUACGGCGGCUGAAGCCCGAGGAUAUCCGCUGAAGCCGCGAGCGCGUUAGCUGCCGCUCGGCCGCUUCUCGUCACUCAGUCUUCAGCGACCUGUUCGCCUGGCCGCCAGUCUGCCUGUCGCUCACGCCCGCCGCGCCCGCCUACGUCGCCUCGAUUAUGAGUAAGAUUUGACUCGAGUGAACUCAGACAUGCGCGAUUCGGUGAGUGGUUUCGUAGGCGCAUGAUAUAUACUGUACAGUGAUGUCAAAGAUCGAGAUUAAAGAAGGAAAAAUAAAACAAGGAUAGAGAAAAUAGUGAAAUUGUAGAAGAAAAAUAAAUGGAUUAGAGGAAAAGAGGUGUGAGUCGAUCAUUGUAUUGCUCAAGAUCGCCCUUGAUAAAUUGAGAUAGAGCGUCUUAGCGGAAAUAGAAAGAAAGAAAAAAAGAGAAAAUAGAUAGCCCUGUAUUUUUUUUAUGAUAUUUCUUUGUUCAUGCGAGUGCCACCAUUUGUGACUAGGCACAGAAAGAAGUGAGAGGAAAAGAGUGCGGUGCCACAAAGGAUGUUGUCCUUGUUGUUGGAUGUGUAGGGUCAACAAAGAGUGACGACGACGCCAGAGGGAAGAUGGCGGUCAAGGAUACGCGCUUCGUGUUCUACCGGCCCAUCAGAGUGCCGAACUACAGGGCCAGUCUCUAUAGCAGGUGAGUGUUGGCGAGAGAACAUGUCGUUCACUGUAGUUGUUCACGCAAGGAAUCCCAGGUGCCCAAGGUAGGUGUUUUUGUUUCGUUUGAACACGUAACCUAAGUUGAACAACGGUUCGAGCGAGAUUUUUUGUCUUACAGUGAACAGGUAAUCGUAGUUAUAUAUACGCGAACAUUUCGAGGUCGCUCAAAAACCCGGAUGAGAUGAUUUGAAGUGCUGACCAAGGAAGAGGAGCAAGGCGGGAAGAAAGGAAGAGAGAAGAAAAUAAGAUGCUUUUUUUGACGAGAUAUUAUCUUAAGCACCCGUAAUUUGCAUAAUAAAGGUAGAAUGGGUCCCCCCCUAAAAACGCUGUAAAGAAGAAAAAAAGUCAGGAUUGAACAGAGGAUGAAGGUCAUGCGACAGGAAAGACGAGAAGGAAGAGAAAGAAAGAAAGAAAAGAAUAAUGUCCCUGUGAGGGGUGGGAGGGGAUUUCCGGGCCCGUCUUGCAGGUAGGCCUAUCCGGAACCCUUUCUUGUGCCAGGUAGAUCUAUGUCCUUUUCUUGUUUCUUUUCCUGUCCUCUGUUGAAUU